GUAGACCUUAACCCUGGGUUAGAACAGUCCGCUGGGCCGGCCAGAAACAUGCCCGAAGUUUUCCGAACCAGGCCCAGCGGGGACAGGCAAGCAGAGACGCUGGAGAGGGGAAGAGAAGAACGCGAUGGAGAAAGAGAACGCGCCGCGCUGGGCGGACGGGCGGUUCCUCAACUGCCACAUUUUAUUUCGGAACGGUUGGUGGUCGGCCCACAGCAGGACGAGGCCCCAGCCGGAGUCUGUCCUCGCGCGCCUGAGAGAGGAAGUCACGUGGCUGUAGCCUGAUCCGCUCCAGGGGAGGCUGCGGUCACGCCCAUCAGCGCGGCGCUCUCUGCCCCUCUCCCUCGCCGGGUUUGGGUUAGGGGCGGAGCUAAGGAUGGCGGUAGGCGCUCGUCUGCGGCCGCGGCUCGAGAGACCCCGCCAGCGGCGCCGGGCGCGUGCCGAGAAGUCUCGCCACGGCACCGGCCGGGCCUGUGCGCGCGAACGGGAGCUGGGUGGCGGGCUCUCGCGCCAGGCUCCGUUCCCAUGCCGGCGAACCGGCGCCGGGAGAAGGCGGGGGACGCCCCUCCGCCCCCGCGGCCGUUUGGCAUGGGCUGCGAAGCAUCCGCCACGGGAGCCGCUGGAGUCCCGCCCGGCGCCGCCCGCCGGCCGGGCGCAGCUGGGGGAAUGGGCGUGGCGCGGGCUCUCAGACCCGCAGGGCAGCGACCCUUGACGCGUAAGCAAGCGGGGGCCCGGGCCAUGCCGUGCGUCCCUUGCACGAGCCUUGGGAGUGGGUGUGAGCGCGCGAGCGACGUGUGCCCCUUUGCUCCUGCGCGUGUCGUUCGGCUGCAGACAGGCUACUGGGCUAGGGGCGAACGAGCCCGCGUAGUGUUCUCUGCGCGUUGCGGAGAGACGCGUGCGAGUUCCCGCCGCGGGGCGGGUAGCCCUGCCCUGCCCUGCCCUGCCCUUGCUGUCUAUUAGAGCGACGAAAUGGGAGAGGAAAUAGCCGUUAUUGAACCAACUGCGGUUGUUGGGGGCUUACGCAGCACGCUUCCGGUCGAGGAGGCUCCUGCUAAUUAUUGCAGGCGUGAGCUAGAAUAGAUGACUCAAGAGGGUUCUGUCUCGGAAAGUCGCCGACUUGGAAGAUAGUUGUUUAGAGUCCACGGUGCUCCCAGCAGGUCCUGUAACCACAGUUUGUGUGGACGGAGGAGCGCAGAAGCGCCCAGUAGAACCUCAGCGGUAGGGACGCUGUGGGAAUGGAGGUUCCUAACGCUGAACAAAAGGUGACGGCGAUUCUUUCCAAAGUUUAUAAUUGAACAUUGACUUAAUACAGCUUUAAGCCUAGAUUAGGGAGAAGAAAAAUGCUGGUUUUAACCCUCGAAACGGUUUCUGUGCUUGUUUCCGUUUCUUACCUUGUCAAACUGCUUCACCUUUUUUUUGGUAGGUCAUUUAACAGAACUGUACUGUAUUGGCUGGGGGGGGGCAGGGGGAGAAGUCUCUGCUGCUUCCUGAUUGCAUACUUCCAAAGGAGGUGUGUGGUUGACCAGUCAGUUCGUAACUCUCCAGUUUGUAACUCUGAGGUUCUUCUGGAGGUAGUUUGUUUGGGUUUUUAAAGUUUUUUUUCUUUUUCCCCCAUUUAUGGCCUGGUUCUGAACUUAGUUAAAUCCGUAACUAAAGAGUAACUCCAAAGACAAUAGAAAAGUUUUGCUUCUGCAAGAUAAGGAUCUGGCUCUUCACAGGUUGUAUUUACUAAUUAUUUUGGUAGCAUUUGAAGUGUGCUAGGGUGUACAAACAAAGAAGUCACAAUCCCUGCUCCAAGGAGCUUACACUUACCUGUUUAUAAUACAAAGGGGUCAAUCUAAACCCCACAACAAGGAGUCCAGUGGCACCUUAAAGACUAACAGAUUUAUUUGGGCGUAAGCUUUCGUGGGUAAAAAGCCACCACUUCAGACGCAUCAUGUUAAUGCGCAUUAAAUGCUAUUACGGCCAAAUCAAGUUAACAGACAUUGUUAAACUCAGGCCUGAUCUACACUUAAAACUUAGGUCGACAAUAGCUAAGGUGCUCACAAGCUGUGCUCCUGUGGUUCCCCAUAGUGUAAACAUGGCUUCAGUUGUUUUGACUGUGCAGAUAAGCCCUAGCACAAAGAUUAUUAGUGUUUCACUCUACAAUGUGGUACCAGUAGGCACCAUCUGGGAUUCCAGGAUGCAGUAGCAAAACCUGAUAGCAUCUGUGAUGAUCUACGAAACCACCCCGACUCAUGCAAAAACCUAGAACAGUUUAAAAAGAUUGUAACUAGGCUUCUGCUCCAUGGUAUAAUUUUGCAUCCAAUACAUUCCGCUUCCUAUAUUAUAGUUUUGCAUGUUAAAGAUAGUUCUGGGAUUUAACUAUAGACUACCAAAUUAGACAAGAAAGUACACCUCUAACUUUAAAUGACUAUUUUCAUAGAAAUACAUACAAUUAUUUUCACCAUAUGUCAUGUAUUAUAAUGGCUCCAGGGGGCAGAUUGAAAUUUAUCAAGUCAAUUACAAUCCUGUCUGUUUUGAUUAACAAUCAGCCAUUAUCUGUUAUGCUGUACAGUAAUAAGUCUUAAGUUCACCAGUUAAGAGACUAAAGGCUUGAUUUUCAGAAGUACUGAGCACCUGCAUUCUCCACUGAUUUGAAAUGGAGUUGUGUGUACUCAGCAUUUCUGAAAAUCAAGCCAUAACACACGAGUAGUGACAAGUACCUUAAUACAUUUUAUGUUCGUUAGGCCCUGAUUCUGCAACCCUUACAAUGAGUAAGUAUCUUAGGAGGAGAUCCAUGAAGGGGCUUAGUCCUUGCAAUGCUGAGCAUCACAAUGCCUAACUUUUAGGUGCCUAGAAAGUCACAGGAACAACACUGCAAUCCAUAAAGUCAAGCUGCACUCCCUAUACAAUGAAUAGGGAUCAGUAGGCAGCUAAGAAUGGAAUCCACAAAAGCUCAGGUAGCCAAUGGGAGGUGCUGACAAGAGGGAUGUGGCCAAAGUCCUGCCCCUCACCAAGAUAAGUGGCUCUCUCUUCUUAGCAAUCCACAAAUGGGAACCAGCCAUCAGGUGUUUUAGGUGACCAAGGCCUUUCUUGUGGGAAUGAGUUAGGUGCUUGCCUUGCUUCACGCAAAAUGGCAGUAAGAGGAACCACCACUGCCUUGCACCUUAUAACUUUUAGCUCACUAGUUGGAGCACACACCUAGAAUGUGGGAGACCCAGAUUCAAUUCUCCCUUUUCUGCCAGAGCAGGAGAAAGAAUUUGAACAGGAGCCCCCCACCACUUGAGAGUGCGCUAACCUCUGGGAUAUUCUGAUGUAGGGCUUCUUUAGUCUCUCCUGUUUCACUGUGGUUAAAUGAUGUAGUGGUGAUUGGAACAGGGGGCCUGGACCCUGGGUCUCCCAUCCCAGACAUGGGUGCUCUAACCACCAGAUAGUAGUGUUAUUGACAUUCAAUACCAUUAGAUGCAAUCCUAUCAAUGAGACUGAAC
Dermochelys coriacea (leatherback sea turtle) is the source of this 3467-nucleotide long non-coding RNA. RefSeq lists it as uncharacterized. The record is from RefSeq and is a predicted model, not a curated record. The transcript has 2 exons. NCBI's taxonomy places the organism in Eukaryota, Metazoa, Chordata, Testudines, Dermochelyidae.